CAAUAGCGUAUAUUAAAGUUGUUGCGGUUAAAAAGCUCGUAGUUGGAUUUCUGCUGAGAACGACCGGUCCGCCCAUUGGGUGUGUAUCUGGCUCUUUCUUGGCAUCUUCUUGGUGAACGUUACUGCACUUGACUGUGUGGAGCGCUACCCAGGACUUUUACUUUGAGGAAAUUAGAGUGUUUCAAGCAGGCAUACGCCUUGAAUACGUUAGCAUGGAAUAAUAAGAUAGGACCUCGGUUCUAUUUUGUUGGUUUCUAGAGCUGAGGUAAUGAUUAAUAGGGAUAGUUGGGGGCAUUCGUAUUUAACUGUCAGAGGUGAAAUUCUUGGAUUUGUUAAAGACGGACUACUGCAAAAGCAUUUGCCAAGGAUGUUUUCAUUGA
Molecule: ribosomal RNA, 380 nt
Filed under: uncultured eukaryote
Lineage: Eukaryota
Description: partial 18S ribosomal RNA
Rfam family: Eukaryotic small subunit ribosomal RNA
Source: RNAcentral